This 459-nucleotide ribosomal RNA is filed under the name uncultured bacterium. RNAcentral's name for it is "partial 16S ribosomal RNA". It matches the Rfam family "Bacterial small subunit ribosomal RNA", at positions 338 to 795 of the family's 1533-position model. The record is from RNAcentral.
CCUACGGGAGGCAGCAGUGAGGAAUAUUGGUCAAUGGACGAGAGGCUGAACCAGCCAAGUAGCGUGAGGGAUGAAUGCCCUAUGGGUUGUAAACUUCUUUUAUAAAGGAAUAAAACGAGGCACGUGUGCGUUUUGGCGAGUACAUGAUGAAAAAGGAUCGGCUAACUCCGUGCCAGCAGCCGCGGUAAUACGGAGGAUGCGAGCGUUAUCCGGAUUUAUUGGGUUUAAAGGGAGCGUAGGUGGGUUGUUAAGUCAGUGGUAAAAGCCCGGGGCUCAACCCCGGCCAGCCGUUGAAACUGGUUGUAUUGAGUGUGCGAGAGGUAUGCGGAAUGCGUAGUGUAGCGGUGAAAUGCUUAGAUAUUGCGCAGAACUCCGAUUGCGAAGGCAGCAUACCGGCGGCCAUCUGACGCUGAGGCACGAAAGCGUGGGUAUCGAACAGGAUUAGAUACCCGAGUAGUC